CUAUGCGCCUUGCCAGCCCGCUCAGGUGUGCCAGCCACCGCGGUAAUACGUAGGAGGCAAGCGUUAUCCGGAUUUAUGGGUUUAAAGGGUGCGUAGGCGGAUUUUAAGUCAGCGGUAAAAUGUCCGGGCUCAACCCGGGCCGGCCGUUGAAACUGGGGAUCUUGAGUGGGCGAGAAGUAUGCGGAAUGCGUGGUGUAGCGGUGAAAUGCAUAGAUAUCACGCAGAACUCCGAUUGCGAAGGCAGCAUACCGGCGCCCGACUGACGCUGAGGCACGAAAGCGUGGGGAUCGAACAGG
This 296-nucleotide ribosomal RNA is filed under the name uncultured bacterium. RNAcentral describes it as "partial 16S ribosomal RNA". It matches the Rfam family "Bacterial small subunit ribosomal RNA", at positions 475 to 776 of the family's 1533-position model. The record is from RNAcentral.